Molecule: small nucleolar RNA, 125 nt
Filed under: Erinaceus europaeus (western European hedgehog)
Lineage: Eukaryota; Metazoa; Chordata; Mammalia; Eulipotyphla; Erinaceidae
Description: Small nucleolar RNA SNORA70
Rfam family: Small nucleolar RNA SNORA70
About the family: snoRNA U70 seems to be exclusive to mammals and is a member of the H/ACA class of snoRNA which contain H (ANANNA) and ACA box motifs. H/ACA box snoRNAs are involved in the conversion of uridines to pseudouridines (5-ribosyluracil) a constituent of structural RNAs (transfer, ribosomal, small nuclear, and small nucleolar).
Source: Rfam by way of RNAcentral
CUGAUGCCAGUGAAUCCGACGUAUUAUUCUCUGGGGUCCAGUGUGCAUGGGCUUCGAACAGCAACCUCUUUGUGUAGUCUGUUGCUUGUUUGGGUUAAUUGAAGUAAGGGAUCUUGCAGACAGCC